RNAcentral lists this ribosomal RNA (585 nucleotides) under Bacillus cereus. Its description in RNAcentral is "bacterial SSU rRNA". It matches the Rfam family "Bacterial small subunit ribosomal RNA", at positions 173 to 748 of the family's 1533-position model. Lineage: Bacteria; Bacillati; Bacillota; Bacilli; Caryophanales; Bacillaceae. The record is from RNAcentral.
AUUUUGAACUGCAUGGUUCGAAAUUGAAAGGCGGCUUCGGCUGUCACUUAUGGAUGGACCCGCGUCGCAUUAGCUAGUUGGUGAGGUAACGGCUCACCAAGGCAACGAUGCGUAGCCGACCUGAGAGGGUGAUCGGCCACACUGGGACUGAGACACGGCCCAGACUCCUACGGGAGGCAGCAGUAGGGAAUCUUCCGCAAUGGACGAAAGUCUGACGGAGCAACGCCGCGUGAGUGAUGAAGGCUUUCGGGUCGUAAAACUCUGUUGUUAGGGAAGAACAAGUGCUAGUUGAAUAAGCUGGCACCUUGACGGUACCUAACCAGAAAGCCACGGCUAACUACGUGCCAGCAGCCGCGGUAAUACGUAGGUGGCAAGCGUUAUCCGGAAUUAUUGGGCGUAAAGCGCGCGCAGGUGGUUUCUUAAGUCUGAUGUGAAAGCCCACGGCUCAACCGUGGAGGGUCAUUGGAAACUGGGAGACUUGAGUGCAGAAGAGGAAAGUGGAAUUCCAUGUGUAGCGGUGAAAUGCGUAGAGAUAUGGAGGAACACCAGUGGCGAAGGCGACUUUCUGGUCUGUAACUGACACUG